CCUACGGGAGGCUGCAGUGGGGAAUCUUGCGCAAUGGGCGAAAGCCUGACGCAGCAACGCCGCGUGUGUGAUGAAGGUCUUCGGAUCGUAAAGCACUGUCGCGAGGGAAGAUACGCUUCCUUCUAAUACAAGGGAGCUAAGACGGUACCUCGAGAGGAAGCACCGGCUAACUCUGUGCCAGCAGCCGCGGUAAUACAGAGGGUGCGAGCGUUGUUCGGAAUUAUUGGGCGUAAAGCGCUUGUAGGCGGCUUGUUAAGUCGCGUGUGAAAUCCCCAGGCUUAACCUGGGAAGUGCGCGCGAAACUGGCGAGCUUGAAUGCCGGAGAGGGUCGCGGAAUUCCCGGUGUAGAGGUGAAAUUCGUAGAUAUCGGGAGGAACACCAGUGGCGAAGGCGGCGACCUGGAC
RNAcentral lists this ribosomal RNA (404 nucleotides) under uncultured delta proteobacterium. RNAcentral describes it as "bacterial SSU rRNA". It matches the Rfam family "Bacterial small subunit ribosomal RNA", at positions 338 to 734 of the family's 1533-position model. The record is from RNAcentral. Lineage: Bacteria; Deltaproteobacteria.